GGCACUUAACCUUAAGAUCAAAGCUCUCUUCCUUUUCUGUUCUUGUAAAACUAAGUACAAAGAUUUUGAAGUAUAUGUUCCUGAAUGCUAUGUAACACAACUUUAGGGCAUUCAACUUCUCGAAGCCAGACAUGAUUGGAGCAGGGGGCUUAUCUGUGUUAUUAGUUUUAAAUUCUUAUUGGAAGUAGAUGCAUGUAAAAAAAUAAUUCAGCUACUAGUUUCACAUAGCAG
Molecule: long non-coding RNA, 231 nt
Filed under: Capsicum annuum
Lineage: Eukaryota; Viridiplantae; Streptophyta; Magnoliopsida; Solanales; Solanaceae
Description: long non-coding RNA (CANN_LNC020395)
Source: RNAcentral